RNAcentral lists this ribosomal RNA (253 nucleotides) under uncultured bacterium. RNAcentral's name for it is "partial 16S ribosomal RNA". It matches the Rfam family "Bacterial small subunit ribosomal RNA", at positions 524 to 776 of the family's 1533-position model. The record is from RNAcentral.
UACGAAGGGUGCGAGCGUUGUUCGGAUUUACUGGGCGUAAAGGGCGCGCAGGCGGCUCAUUUUGUCAGGCGUGAAAGCCCCGGGCUUAACCUGGGAACUGCGUUUGAUACGGAUGGGCUAGAGUUCGGGAGAGGAGAGUGGAAUUCCCAGUGUAGAGGUGAAAUUCGUAGAUAUUGGGAAGAACACCGGUGGCGAAGGCGGCUCUCUGGACCGAGACUGACGCUGAGGCGCGAAAGCGUGGGGAGCAAACAGG